UAUCCGGCGAUGAUGAGAAUAGUACAUGAGGAGCAAUCUCAGAGAGGGAUCUGCAUGGUGGAAGGAUCCUGUGCGUGAAUCAUGGAACCGGCCUCGGAGCUCUGUAUAACUGAAGUACAGCGUAGAUCCGGCGUUAAAGGAUAUUGAGAGAGUAAUUGUUAUUUUAAUUGCUAAUUAGGGUGGUACCGCCGAAGUCCUUCGGUCCCUUUA
Molecule: non-coding RNA, 210 nt
Filed under: Glossina morsitans
Lineage: Eukaryota; Metazoa; Arthropoda; Insecta; Diptera; Glossinidae
Description: T-box sequence
Rfam family: T-box leader
About the family: Uncharged tRNA acts as the effector for transcription antitermination of genes in the T-box leader family.
Source: RNAcentral